Hydra vulgaris (swiftwater hydra) is the source of this 409-nucleotide long non-coding RNA. RefSeq lists it as uncharacterized. NCBI's taxonomy places the organism in Eukaryota, Metazoa, Cnidaria, Hydrozoa, Anthoathecata, Hydridae. The record is from RefSeq and is a predicted model, not a curated record.
AUACUAUUAUAAAUUACAUAAAAAAUUUUGAUCCGUAAUUAUAUACAUUUUGCACACAUUCUUUACACAUGCGCAUAAAAUUGAGCAAAGCACUGAUGAAUUGCUUUAUGCAUAUCACUUAAACUAGUGUUAUUCUUUGAAUUUAGAAAUAGAAGUUGUUAAAUGUUGGCUCAACAUGCAGUACAAUUGAGACGGACAUGUUUUCUGAGAUUAGAGCACCACAAGUAUCAUUGAUCUGCCAAAAAAUUGACCUGUUGUGUUUCCACGUCUAUGAUAUCAUAUCAUCACGCUAACAAGCCCCAACGAGCAAUAUGCGUCCGUGGUUGUGAUAUGUACUGACUUAUAAUAAUUAGAAAAAGAUACUCUGUAUUACUAUAUAUACCGAAUUCCUGUACUAGUAGUUACUAAU